RNAcentral lists this long non-coding RNA (1029 nucleotides) under Ananas comosus (pineapple). RNAcentral's name for it is "long non-coding RNA (ACOM_LNC001315)". The record is from RNAcentral. Lineage: Eukaryota; Viridiplantae; Streptophyta; Magnoliopsida; Poales; Bromeliaceae.
AAAAAAAAAUUCCUAAACCCGGACCACCACAUCAGCCAAAUAUUAGCUCAUACUUCUCACUCCACGGAGUCCUACAAAAUUUUCAAAAAAAUAAAAAGAUCCAGAACACAACUCCUGUAAUUUCGAAAUUACGAAAGUUUUCGUAUUUAUAAGUUAUUUUCAAUAAUAGGAUAUCCGAUGCAACGAUCGACACUACUGUUAGGCAUAAUCUAAGCAAGUGAAAUUAUCUAAAAAGCAAAUUUCAUAAUUUUUCGACAUCAUUUAUCAAGUGAUCAAAAGAUCUCGAAAUGACUAUUUUUAACGGUCGAUGUGGCAUGUUUUAAGUUCAACGGCGUAAAUUAAUCCAAAUUACAUGAAACUUUAAUAGAAAAUUCUACUUAACAUCAAUAGCAACACCAAUACUUCUAAUUUGAAAUUUGAGUAUUUUAUCACUAUUAUUUAUUAAAUUUUUAUUUUUAGCCGUUCAUAUUGAGGCAGCUCGUUCACUAGGCGAAUGGAGUUAAAAAAAAAAUUAUGAGAUUUGAUUUCUAGGUAGUUUCAAUAGUGUAGAUUAUGUUUAACAGAACUGAUCGCUGAAUCAGAUGUUUGGUCUCCGUAUUCUUGAAAGCAUAGGAGGCUCAAAGACUCCGUAUUCUAUUUCCAAAUAUGUGAGGAUAUAAAAAGAAGGAAAAAUUUUAAAUACCACCCAUGUGGUUUCAUACUUUCUCACUUUAGUACUCUCUGGUUUAAAAUGUAUCAAUUUAGUGUCUUGUAAUUUUAUUUUUAUCUUUUUAUUAUCAAUUUCACUAAUUUUUUUCGUUAAAUCAGUGUCAAAGUUAAAACUAAAAGGUACUGAAGUGAAUAUUCAAUAAAUUUAAGUAGGGUAUAUGAAGUAUUUUGCAUAUAAUUUAAUAAAAUAUUAACGGAAAAUCUAAUGAAAAGAUAAAAAUAAAAUCACAUGACACUAACUUGGUACAUUUUAAAUCACAUGAUAUUAAAAUGAGAAAAUGUGAAACCAAAGUGGCGGUAUUCGAAGUUUACCCCAAAAAA